GACAGAGCUUCUGCCCCGAGACUCAGAAAAAUACUCUCCUGUGCCUCGGCUCAGUAUAGAUUUCUAGACCCUGAUCAUUGCUUAAGAGAGAUUCUCUGGGGUCCUACGUCUCUGCAAUUUGUGUAUGAAUAACAGAAUAAUUUCCCUCUUUUGUUUCGCCUUUCCUGUUCCUGAAUCUAAAUAAAGAUGGCUUUUUAGUAUUAAAAGUGGAAGAAAAUUACAGGUAAUUAUCUUUGACGGUAAAAACGCUGUAAUCAGCGGGCUACAUGAAAAAUUACUCUAAUUAUGGCUGCAUUUAAGAGAAUGGAAAAAAACCUUCUUGUGGAUAAAAACCUUAAAUUGUCCCCAAUGUCUGCUUCAAAUUGGAUGGCACUGCAGCUGGAGGCUUUGUUCAGAAUUGAUCCUGGGGAGCUACAAACCCAAAGUUUCACAGUAGGAAGGGGGAAAAAAGAAAAGAAAACAUUUUUCCUAAUGUAACAAUGCGAAUGGUAGAAAAUGACAAGACUGAUCGGUUUUAAACCAUUCUGAAGACUGACUGAGUGUGGAAGUUGCUCAACAAAAAAAGGAACGGGGAUAUUGCUGCUGAGAACCAGAGGGAAACCUCCUCCCAGAAGAACAUUUCCAUACACUGCUUCCCCACUGCUGUGGAGUCCCCUGAACACUGGUCCCUGGACACCAACUUCAAGAAGACUUCGUGAUGGCUGUCCAGUCUUAUGAACCACAGUUUUCCCUGUGUGUUUUCUCCAGUGAUGCUCUCAUCUGGGUCAGAUUAGAGAUGAACCAGCUGGAGAACAGAUUGGAGCGCUGACCUCUUAGAGUGCUAACAGUCAACAGUUUGCUGUCAGACCCAUAGAGAAAUAAUAAAAAUACGUUCCAUGCAAGGGAGUGGGAUGUUUAUAAUUCCUUAAAGGCUGAAAUCAAGGAACAAUCAAAAUAUAGAGGAAUGCGGACUUGUUUUACUGCAGGAUUUUUGUUUUGUCCCUACUGGGAUACAUAUUCUGGUGUUACUACUGCAUCAGGACUCAGGCAAGGCUAUGUAUUCUAGUGGUGCUCCUACUUAGCUCUUGUGCUUUAGUAAGAGACACUAACUCAUUAGACUUGGUAUUACUGAUCUGCACUGUAGGUCUGCACUCACGACCUGGGAGAUAUUGGCAAUGAUUCUCUUAUAUGAUAAAGGUCAAUGAUAAAAGUACUUCAACUCCCCUCGAACUUUUUGUUUGUACACCAAGUGAUGACACUGUGUAUUGAACUAAUUAGAUCAGUGGAGUUACAGGGUGAUACUGACCUCUAAAAAUAUUUGGCUGAAACCUGGCAUUGCUAGUUAUCUGUAGAAGAGGACGAUAUGGAACAUGCAAACAUCACAAAACAUGGGAUUACUGGUCAGACUUGGAAACCCAGCAACCAGGCAAGUUCAGCAUAGAACCUGCAGAAACUAGCAGCAGGUAGACAUGGUUCCUUUUCCAUGGAUCUUACAACCAAAUGUCCCUGUAGAAAGCAGAGGCUAUCAUGUGUAUGUGGCCACACAGAUGUUCUUGAGCACAGCCUCUAGUCAGUGGGAGAGUUCCUACUGCUGUAGGCCAUGGCUGUCUUCUCUAAGCCUGAAUUUUACAAACACUUUGUGAACCUGGACUGCUUUUCUUUAGCAAGCCUUGAAAAGUUCCAGGAUGUCAGGGAAGUGUCUUGGGGUUGGCAGGGCUUCUAGGGAGGGAAAUAUUAAAUGAUUUGGACCAGAAAAGAAAAAGGGGAUGGGGUUCAGAACCAACAAUUACCUCUAUUCUAUGUAGGAAACAAUAAUAUGAAAUACGCUGGGCACGGAAACUUUGAUACUAAAACUUGGUUUUUGUCCCUUUUAAAAAGUAAUACUUAAAAAGCUAUGUGGUUGUAGGCAAGCCAUUUCCCAUCCCCUGUGGAUGUCUCCUGAAUGACUCUAAACCUGUUCUAGUUCUCAAAGGCCUUUAACAUAAGUCCCCAGGCUACAGUGGCCACUUUAAAAAUACCCUCCCUAUGGUUGUUAGGUCUUAACGUUUCCAGCAGUUACAUAAACAUUUUUAUUUUUGAGGGAGGGUCUAUUCUUAUCAACUUUUAAAAAACACACAUCCGGUUCUUUUCUGGAAUUAAGAAGAUGCAAACUCCAAGUCCCCUGCCUUCCAUACUGCCUGCCUUUCUUCCUGUUCGUCCCUUAUUCCCAUCCCUGUUGAGUUUGUGCUAUGCACUGCAUCAGGUAUACCCUAGGUUUGGAGAUACAGGAUAAACCUGACUCAGAGGGGUCUUCCCUUUCUCUUCUGGUGCUUUCUUUGGAGGGAGUCUGUUGUAUCUAGGCAGACUGUGCUGUGGCGCCCCUGAGGUAACCACCCAGGCGCUUCAUUCUGCCUAAGCAAUUUCAUUGUGCACUAAGAUACACAUCCCAGUAACUGUCCAGAUUACCACAAGAACUUUCUCCAAAUAUAAGGAAGAGGGAGAUUUUACUUCUGAGAUGUGUGUAUGACAACCCUCCAUCCUGGGAAGAACACUGAAUACUGCCUGCACCUCAUCCUAGCCUAAGGAGUGAGAGUGUUUUCCUGUAUCAUCCCGGUGGAUUGCUACUUCUUUAAGAAGGAAUGGGAAAAACACCAAACAGACAAACAUGUUAUCACAAAUUCAGUCUGACCUCAUUGGAAAUCCUUUUAAAAAUUAAUCAUUUCUAUCUCUUCAUUAUCAACAAAUCUACUGAAUACUUCUCUCUUGAGUCCAGGGCAUAUUUUAUAAUACAUAAAACAAUGAAAUUUCAAAUUCAGAGCACUGACAUAUACUAUUCGUUUUGAGUAUUUUUAUUAUAGGGAAUGACUUUAGACAUUCCAAUUUAUGACUUAAGUGGUAAAAUGGAUAGCUCUUGACUUUCAACUUUCCUUUUCAGUUCAGGUCAAGGAAUAGCUACCUCCAGGUAAUGUCUACACUUUCCUAUGACUAAGGACUCUAACUAUUUCUGUUGCCUUUCUUUAUGCAGGCAUAUGUUAGCAUUUCUUUUCUAUGUGACAAAUGUACUAAAGAGAGUAUAAAAUUCAUGAGAUAAGCUUUUUGGAUAGGAAUUUAGAAAAACAAGGAGUCCAGAUAAAUGAGUGAAAAAUCAACUUAAAUAAUCAACAUAUCCAAGAUAUGUAUUGGAAUAAAUGUCUAUUGUACCAUUUUGGUUUUGUCUUGUUUUCUAUUUUUGUUCUUAUUGAUGAUGAUGUUGUUUGUUUGUUAUUUGAGAAAGAACAGAAGGUUGGGUGGAUAGGAAGGUAGAGAGGAUCUAUCUGGAUGGAGUUGGGAGGAGGGAAAAGUACAUGAUCAAAUGUAUUUUAUGAUGGGUGGAGCAUAGUGGUGUAUGUCUUUAAUCCCAGCACUCAGGAUGCAGAGGCAGGUGGAUCUCUGUAAAUUGGAGGCCAGCCUGGUAGACAAAGGAAGACCAGAACAGGGCUCUGUUACACAAAGAAAUCCUAUUUCAAAUAUAUAUGUGUGUGUGUGUGGGGGGGGUGUUGUGUAAUUUUUAACUAAAACUGUUUAUCUUUUGAGAUAGUCACAGGUAACCCAAACUGGUCUUGUGACUGGUAUAAACACACACAGUUAAUGUUCAGAUCCUGUAGGUAGCAUGCCUCCCUUUGUGGAGAAGGCACCAUUCCUCCCUCUGUGGUGCAGAAGUGGAAUCAGUAAACCCAUAGAAUUCCAACCGUUCUAGUGAAAACGUUCUGCUGAGCACCUCACACUUCCAAGUGUGAAAGCUCCGAGCAUCUGAGUGCUAGCCCUGUGAAGGUAUGUAUGUGUGAAUGGUCUGGUGUGUUCUACUUCCAGCCAUUGACCUUGAAGCAACGUCUAUGUUUUCUUUAUCCUU
This 3847-nucleotide long non-coding RNA is filed under the name Rattus norvegicus (Norway rat). RNAcentral's name for it is "long non-coding RNA NONRATT021224". The stretch from base 1 to 101 matches the Rfam family "Embryonic ventral forebrain-2 long ncRNA", at positions 42 to 142 of the family's 142-position model. Lineage: Eukaryota; Metazoa; Chordata; Mammalia; Rodentia; Muridae. The record is from RNAcentral.